This 308-nucleotide ribosomal RNA is filed under the name Planipapillus mundus. Its description in RNAcentral is "partial 12S ribosomal RNA". The record is from RNAcentral. Lineage: Eukaryota; Metazoa; Onychophora; Udeonychophora; Euonychophora; Peripatopsidae.
UCUCAAAUUUUAAUAAUUUCUUAAAUAGUAAUCUGGAAAUUUAAAAUUUUGACGUUUAUAAUUUUUCAGAGGAAUAUGUAAUUUAAUCGUCAAUACACGUUAAUUUUACUUAUUUUAUUUUUGUAUAUCUCCGUUAUUAGAUUUUAUUAUAAAUUAUAAUAAAUUUCUUAAUAAAUUAUUUUAUUACAUCAGGUCAAGGUGCAGAAUAAAUAAGAUAUUAUGUAUUACAAUCAAAAAUUUUGGUAUGAAUAAAAUGUUGAAAAACUUUUUGAAAAUGAAUCUGAGAGUAAAAUUUUAUAAAACUUUAU